This 459-nucleotide ribosomal RNA is filed under the name uncultured bacterium. RNAcentral describes it as "partial 16S ribosomal RNA". It matches the Rfam family "Bacterial small subunit ribosomal RNA", at positions 338 to 795 of the family's 1533-position model. The record is from RNAcentral.
CCUACGGGAGGCAGCAGUGAGGAAUAUUGGUCAAUGGCCGGAAGGCUGAACCAGCCAUGCCGCGUGAAGGUCAAUGCCCUAUGGGCGGUAAACUUCUUUUGUGCGGGAGCAAUAAUGGUCACGUGUGGCCAGCCGAGAGUACCGUACGAAUAAGCAUCGGCUAACGCCGUGCCAGCAGCAGCGGUAAUACGGGGGAGGCAAGCGUUAUCGGGAAUUACUAGUCGUAAAGGGCGCGUAGGUGGGCGCUUAAGUCAGGUGUGAAAACACCGGGCUCAACCUGGAGACUGCACUUGAAACUGGGUGUCUUGAGGGCAGGAGAGGAAAGUGGAAUUCCUAGUGUAGCGGUGAAAUGCGCAGAUAUUAGGAGGAACACCAGUGGCGAAGGCGACUUUCUGGACUGUACCUGACGCUGAGGCGCGAAAGCGUGGGUAGCGAACGGGAUUAGAUACCCUUGUAGUC